AAUCCAUAGGUUAAUGAGGCGAACCGGGGGAACUGAAACAUCUAAGUACCCCGAGGAAAAGAAAUCAACCGAGAUUCCCCCAGUAGCGGCGAGCGAACGGGGAGGAGCCCAGAGCCUGAAUCAGCAUGUGUGUUAGUGGAAGCGUCUGGAAAGGCGCGCGAUACAGGGUGACAGCCCCGUACACAAAAGCGCAUGUGCUGUGAGCUCGAUGAGUAGGGCGGGACACGUGGUAUCCUGUCUGAAUAUGGGGGGACCAUCCUCCAAGGCUAAAUACUCCUGACUGACCGAUAGUGAACCAGUACCGUGAGGGAAAGGCGAAAAGAACCCCGGCGAGGGGAGUGAAAAAGAACCUGAAACCGUGUACGUACAAGCAGUGGGAGCCCCACCACCAAAGCAUUUGCUGUACCGCGUUGACGGAGCGAAGCGACGUCAAACCGAUAAAACAGCAGUGUAAAGUGAGCCGCAGGGCGCUUUGCGCGACAGCGCAAAGGCAGGCGGUUUCGCGUAGCGAAAGCGAAUGCUUUGGGGUGGGGUGACUGCGUACCUUUUGUAUAAUGGGUCAGCGACUUAUAUUCUGUAGCAAGGUUAACCGAAUAGGGGAGCCGGAGGGAAACCGAGUCUUAAUUGGGCGUUAAGUUGCAGGGUAUAGACCCGAAACCCGGUGAUCUAGCCAUGGGCAGGUUGAAGGUUGGGUAACACUAACUGGAGGACCGAACCGACUAAUGUUGAAAAAUUAGCGGAUGACCUGUGGCUGGGGGUGAAAGGCCAAUCAAACCGGGAGAUAGCUGGUUCUCCCCGAAAGCUAUUUAGGUAGCGCCUCGUGAAUUCAUCUCCGGGGGUAGAGCACUGUUUCGGCUAGGGGGCCAUCCCGGCUUACCAACCCGAUGCAAACUGCGAAUACCGGAGAAUGUUAUCACGGGAGACACACGGCGGGUGCUAACGUCCGUCGUGAAGAGGGAAACAACCCAGACCGCCAGCUAAGGUCCCAAAGUCAUGGUUAAGUGGGAAACGAUGUGGGAAGGCCCAGACAGCCAGGAUGUUGGCUUAGAAGCAGCCAUCAUUUAAAGAAAGCGUAAUAGCUCACUGGUCGAGUCGGCCUGCGCGGAAGAUGUAACGGGGCUAAACCAUGCACCGAAGCUGCGGCAGCGACACUGUGUGUUGUUGGGUAGGGGAGCGUUCUGUAAGCCUGUGAAGGUGUGUCGUGAGGCAUGCUGGAGGUAUCAGAAGUGCGAAUGCUGACAUAAGUAACGAUAAAGCGGGUGAAAAGCCCGCUCGCCGGAAGACCAAGGGUUCCUGUCCAACGUUAAUCGGGGCAGGGUGAGUCGACCCCUAAGGCGAGGCCGAAAGGCGUAGUCGAUGGGAAACGGGUUAAUAUUCCCGUACUUGGUGUUACUGCGAAGGGGGGACGGAGAAGGCUAUGUUGGCCGGGCGACGGUUGUCCCGGUUUAAGCGUGUAGGUGUGUGUUCCAGGUAAAUCCGGUUCACUUUAACACUGAGGCGUGACGACGAGGCACUACGGUGCUGAAGCAACAAAUGCCCUGCUUCCAGGAAAAGCCUCUAAGCAUCAGGUAACAUCAAAUCGUACCCCAAACCGACACAGGUGGUCAGGUAGAGAAUACCAAGGCGCUUGAGAGAACUCGGGUGAAGGAACUAGGCAAAAUGGUGCCGUAACUUCGGGAGAAGGCACGCUGACACGUAGGUGAAGUGAUUUACUCAUGGAGCUGAAGUCAGUCGAAGAUACCAGCUGGCUGCAACUGUUUAUUAAAAACACAGCACUGUGCAAACACGAAAGUGGACGUAUACGGUGUGACGCCUGCCCGGUGCCGGAAGGUUAAUUGAUGGGGUCAGCGCAAGCGAAGCUCCUGAUCGAAGCCCCGGUAAACGGCGGCCGUAACUAUAACGGUCCUAAGGUAGCGAAAUUCCUUGUCGGGUAAGUUCCGACCUGCACGAAUGGCGUAAUGAUGGCCAGGCUGUCUCCACCCGAGACUCAGUGAAAUUGAACUCGCUGUGAAGAUGCAGUGUACCCGCGGCAAGACGGAAAGACCCCGUGAACCUUUACUAUAGCUUGACACUGAACAUUGAGCCUUGAUGUGUAGGAUAGGUGGGAGGCUUUGAAGUGUGGACGCCAGUCUGCAUGGAGCCGACCUUGAAAUACCACCCUUUAAUGUUUGAUGUUCUAACGUGGACCCGUUACCCGGGUUGCGGACAGUGUCUGGUGGGUAGUUUGACUGGGGCGGUCUCCUCCUAAAGAGUAACGGAGGAGCACGAAGGUUGGCUAAUCCUGGUCGGACAUCAGGAGGUUAGUGCAAUGGCAUAAGCCAGCUUGACUGCGAGCGUGACGGCGCGAGCAGGUGCGAAAGCAGGUCAUAGUGAUCCGGUGGUUCUGAAUGGAAGGGCCAUCGCUCAACGGAUAAAAGGUACUCCGGGGAUAACAGGCUGAUACCGCCCAAGAGUUCAUAUCGACGGCGGUGUUUGGCACCUCGAUGUCGGCUCAUCACAUCCUGGGGCUGAAGUAGGUCCCAAGGGUAUGGCUGUUCGCCAUUUAAAGUGGUACGCGAGCUGGGUUUAGAACGUCGUGAGACAGUUCGGUCCCUAUCUGCCGUGGGCGCUGGAGAACUGAGGGGGGCUGCUCCUAGUACGAGAGGACCGGAGUGGACGCAUCACUGGUGUUCGGGUUGUCAUGCCAAUGGCACUGCCCGGUAGCUAAAUGCGGAAGAGAUAAGUGCUGAAAGCAUCUAAGCACGAAACUUGCCCCGAG
RNAcentral lists this ribosomal RNA (2758 nucleotides) under Salmonella enterica. Its description in RNAcentral is "partial 23S ribosomal RNA". It matches the Rfam family "Bacterial large subunit ribosomal RNA". The record is from RNAcentral. RNAcentral also lists the same sequence under 2 other names. Lineage: Bacteria; Pseudomonadati; Pseudomonadota; Gammaproteobacteria; Enterobacterales; Enterobacteriaceae.